This 387-nucleotide ribosomal RNA is filed under the name uncultured bacterium. RNAcentral describes it as "bacterial SSU rRNA". It matches the Rfam family "Bacterial small subunit ribosomal RNA", at positions 30 to 419 of the family's 1533-position model. The record is from RNAcentral.
AUUGAACGCUGGCGGCAUGCCUUACACAUGCAAGUCGAACGGCAGCGCGGGGCAACCUGGCGGCGAGUGGCGAACGGGUGAGUAAUAUAUCGGAACAUGCCCAGAAGUGGGGGAUAACGUAGCGAAAGUUACGCUAAUACCGCAUACGAUCUACGGAUGAAAGUGGGGGACCGCAAGGCCUCAUGCUUUUGGAGUGGCCGAUAUCUGAUUAGCUAGUUGGUGGGGUAAAGGCCUACCAAGGCGACGAUCAGUAGCUGGUCUGAGAGGACGACCAGCCACACUGGAACUGAGACACGGUCCAGACUCCUACGGGAGGCAGCAGUGGGGAAUUUUGGACAAUGGGGGCAACCCUGAUCCAGCAAUGCCGCGUGUGUGAAGAAGGCCUUC